This 4982-nucleotide long non-coding RNA is filed under the name Carica papaya (papaya). RNAcentral's name for it is "long non-coding RNA (CPAP_LNC005993)". The record is from RNAcentral. Lineage: Eukaryota; Viridiplantae; Streptophyta; Magnoliopsida; Brassicales; Caricaceae.
GUAUAAUGGGAACAGUUGCACUUGUUAUACUCUUCUCUUCUGGUCCAGGUAGUGCGAGUCUUGCACUGCAUGCAACAAAGUAAGUCUUUGAUUCCAUUGAGAAAUACAGUUCAUCCAUCAGAAAACAGGUGUGUAUCAGACAAAAAUAUUAGUUUCUCUUCUAGUUUGAUUUCUUGCCACUUCUCUAAUGCCUCCUCUAACUUCAGCAUAUCAGCUUUUAGAACUUGUUUCCAUUUCAUUUUUCUUCAUAUUGCUGAGUGGUUGUCAUACUGCAUUGUCAAAUAUAAGGGUCCCCAGAAAAGAUUGAACAAGGUUAUAAACUUGGACCAUCGUGUCUUUUAGGCCAGUAUCACUUAAUGCUACUUCUUUCUGGUUAGAAUGUUUAUAUGAACUUUUGUAAGGAAAAUAGGGUGCAAAGGUUGGAGCCUAGCCUCAGCCCAUCUACGACACUCUUCAAAUGGUAUAGUUACCCAUAAACAAUUGAUUCCUUGUCAAUUAAUCCUAUGCUGCUAGUUUGGGCGUCUAAUUUGGAGACCUCAUUUAAUUAAUGAAGGUACAGAUGUCAUGCCUUGAUAUUUAAGGGUUCUUUGAGUUAGCUGGAUGUUCAUUGAAAUACUGACCUUGCAAAAGCACUUGCAAAGUGUCUGCAUUCUCCUCUCAUUGGGCACGCAUUGCAGUUUGGUUUAUUCUUUGUGCAAAAGACCUGCAUAAAUGUUGAGGCAUGAGAGACACCGAUGCUUCUUGCAUGGCUAAUUCUAGAUGUCUUCAAGAGUUGCAUUAGCGGAUGCCAAAGAUGUGUUAUUACAUACCUUUCCAAAUGUAAUCAGCUGGUAAUGUAGUUCAUACCUAUAGUUAAGGACAGUACAUUAGUUUAUAUGACUGCACAUGGAAUGUAAUAGCAAUAUCCUAACAGUACUGCUUCUAGUACAUAUUUGUUUAAAAGAGUUAUGGGUUUACAGUGUUCGCUGGUCAAGUUUACACAAUCUUGGCCAAAGAUAUUUUUGAACAGACUCCAGCACUGGGUACCUGCAAAAGAAAAUCAUUGGUUUCGAGGAAUGAAGACUUUCAGUUUUAUUAAUGAACAUUUAUACUUACAGUUCUAAGAGGUGUAUGUGAAGUGAUUCUGGCAAUGGUUGGAGAGGGACCCAUCCCAGUCUAACAGCUAUCCGUCCAACAUUUGUAUCCACCUUCAUGGUAACAUAAAUGUGAUAUUUGAUUAUAAAAUACAGUUUCCUUUUUACUGCACAGCAGUUCUAUAAAACUUACCGGAAAAGCAAGAUGAUGAAGUGUUAAGAGGCGCACACACUCCACACUUUUCAAUCCCAAUCCUCGUAUACUUAAGAGAUAAUCCCUGCAGCACAAACAAUUUUUUUUUCCCGGAAAAUCAAUCAUAUCUACAUUCCUCGUAUGCAGUUCAAUUCCUUAUACUUAGUUUUACUCUUUAGUUAGUUUUCUUCCAAAAUAUAGUUCAGAUAUCUUACUUCGCUUUGUCUGGGGGGACGUCUCUUAACCAUUCAAGAUCCAUGCUUCCAUGAUCUCUAACAAGGCGGUUCAAGAAUUCCUGCAAUAUUGCACAAUCAUUUUAAAAUUUCUAAUCACUUGAUCCUCUAAAGUAAUCUUUAUUUUGUUCUGAUGACUAUUCUUAUUGUCAUUUGAAACUGAUCUGAGUAACUUACAGCGCUUCUGGGAUUGAUUUUUACACACCUUUAUUCGUUCUGCUAGCAUGUUGUUCAUUCCCCUGUCCCUAAUAGCUUUAGAAAUCUCAUUAACAUCAGCAUAACGCAAUGCUUCAUAAUCUAGUGAGUCCAUUGUGUCUGUGCUUCGUUCCUUUUUCCUACCAUUAGCCUGCACCUGCCUUCUUAGAUUAUCCCAUUCAAUUGCAUUAUUUUUGUCAACCUCAGCCUUUCCUUUUUUUGCUUUUGAAACACUGGUAUUUGUCUCAUCAUAUGCCUUCACUGGUGAAUUUGAUUCAACCAAUUUGUUGUCCAAGAAUUUCUGUUUAUUUGCCAGAUUGAUUCCCUUAUCAGCAUCAGUUCUCUUCAUGAGUUCAGGUGCAUUAAACAUAUGCUUCAUGGUACUGCUUCUACUCUCUUCAAAUGUUUCUGGACGAUUAACAAGCUUUACAACCGGUGUCUCCUGUGGUUGGAAAGUCUUCAUCUGAUUUUGAUGACCAUUGCAGACUUGAUCAUAUGUAGUGCAAGAUCCAGGUUGUGAGGUGUUUUCCUUUCUUGAUAAUGCCCAUGAGUCCGCUUCUGAUACAUCUUGAAAUCUUGGUAUUUCAUUGUCUUGGGCCAACAUUUUCACAUUAGUUGUUUGUCUAAUACUUCUGUAUAAGUCAUUGGCAUCUUUUCCUUUAUCCAGUCCAGAAGCAAUUGCAGGCCAAGACCAUGUUUGCUCUUCACUAGCUGUUUCCGAACUGUCUAUUUCAAUUACUUGGGGCUGUGAAAUUGCGUCCAGCUGAAACUUACUAGGAGUGGCUGGCAUCUGCAAUUCUGAAAUAUUAAAGUUGGUUGGCUGAGUAAAUGUGGAGCUCUUGAAGUUCUCAGUUCUAUUUGUUCUUGGCUUUUGCUGGUUAUUCUCCAUAUCUAUCUGCAAGUGCCCAUGCAUGGUUCCUCUAUGAAAUAGUGGGCUCCCAUUAACCUGAGUAAAAAAUUCAUCAAAUGAGAUGGCACUCUGUGAAAAUUUUCCUGAACCAGGAAUGUUGGUUUCUUUGGUUCCAGUAGUAGGAUGUUCUGCAUCAGAAUUGGAACCUGAGUAUGAUCUUAUUCCUCCAUAGGGUUGGACAAUUAAAGAAUCAAAAGAAUCUGGUGAUGAUAGAAAUUGUUCCUCCAGGCUCUGACUAUAUGUCUCUACUAUGAUUGUUCUUUCUAUUCCUAGGUGCGAUCCAUUAAUUGUAGAACUUUGUUUGUCUGGUGGACGAUUUACUAUCUUUUCUUGCCAUGUGAUGGUGUCAUUUGGAUUCAGUACACAGACUUCUGGUUCAAUCAGUACACUCGUUCUAUCCAACUCAUGUCUUACAUGGCACCCUGAUUUCGGAGGAAACUGUGCAGCUAGAGACAUGAAAGCAGAGCUGCAUGAUAGGAAAGUCAGAAAUAUUAGCUUACUUCAAAUUUCAAUUUCAAUAUCUUCAAAAUAAUCUUAAAACCAUAUUUUACCUUGAUAGGUGAUCGGAAACAUUCUGAGUGAGGAAAACUCCGAUAACUGAAUCUACAACUGAGCCCUUCCACUGUGAGAAGCGCCUAUCUCCUGUGAAGAGUCGUUAGAACUUUUUGUUAGUACAAUUUGGCUUCUUCAAUGAGUAAUUGGAAAAAUAGAUAGGGAACUAGAUUUCUUGUGUCCAUGCUUAUGUAUUAAGCUAAAAACCUGCUAAUUAUGACUUAGAAAAUGCCGGCUCUCUUCAUUUAGGAACCAAGUUUCUUUAGGGAAAUAAAAUGGAGUAUUUUGCAAUGAUAUUGAACUGAUAUCCAGUGUGAUAUUCAGGUUCAGUUACUGUAGAAUAUAAUAGAUUAGUCGAUUAUGUCUGAGGUCAUUUUAAUAUUUAUGCCUUUAUUUCUCUUAAUUAAGCAAGCUUCCCAUGCACCACGCUCGUGCCUUUAUUAAUGCUAAUGAAUUUAAAUUAACAAGUGUCUGCAAUUUGUUGUUGGUCACAUUUUUCCUUUUGCAGAUCAUCAUUCUCCUUUUAUCUGUCAAGUCGUAUUACUUGCAUUUGAUGAAAAGAGAGGGAGGUUGUGAUAAGUUCCCUUUUGGUGCUUGUAUGCACACUCCCUUCAAUUUUGGUUUAUCCUUUAUUGGGUUUGAGCUGGGUUAUGGUUGGCAGGGUGAGAGGGAUGGGGUGGGAGAGCUUUGGAUGUGAAAAGACAUUCAGAGCAACCUGCUAAGCUUAUCCCUUUGGCUACCUUUUGGGCAAUUUGGAAAGAGAGGAAUAGGAGAAUUUUAAUAGUAUAAAAUCUAAUUUUGAUAGAUUUAAAGACUCAUGGGCUCAAUCCCCAAGUUUUUUUUAUAGGUAUUGUAUUUUAGCAAGGAUUUGAAGGAUUUUAUAGGCAUUUUGUUAGAUAUAUAAAUACUUUUGUAUAUGAGUUACAACCACUUGGUGCUUUUUGAAUUUCUAACUUUUUCUUCAAAAAAAAAAAUCUUAUGUAUGUUGUGGUAAUAAUUGCCACAAGAAAUGCAACAGCAUUGACCAGUUAAGACAUGUUCAUCAUCGCGACUAUUGUGGUCAUUAUUUUAAUUAGCUAGACAAUCACAUGAUAAGUACAUUUUGUUGAGAUGAUUACACUUCUAAAAGAAAUAAAGUGAAUCUUUAAAUUUUUGAGUAAAAGUAUCAGGUAGCGUACCUUGUACAAGAUGCAUUCUGGCAAUGAACGAAUCAGCUCGUCCCCGGAAAACUCUCCUUUCUUCCUCCCACCACUUCUCCUUUUCCUUGUCUAAUCCUUCGUCAGCUUCGCUUCCCUUCUUACCCAUCAACAAAUUCCAUAUCCUGUUUGUCUCUAGGUCAAGGUCCACUUUAGGCCGUUGUUUACGUUUCUUUAUAAAGUCAGACCCUACAUAUGGAACAACUGAACCAUCUGCUUUGUACAGAACAAGUGCAUUUUGCUCUUGCCCCAUUAUUUGUUUGCCUCUGUCAUCAUUAAGAUUGAGAUGUUUAAGUCCAUUUAUGAUCUUCUCCAUCAUAACUGAGAAUUCCUCUUUUUCUGAUGGCCCUACAUUAAAUACCAAGACAAUUUGAUGAAAAAUGUGGUGAUUGAAUUUGUUGAAGAUUAGCUUGAUAAGAUGGUUAUAAUUUAUAAGAGGUUAACAUGUUCUAAACUAAUAUGUACAGUACCUUCUGUCUUUCCUGAGUUCUUCUGAUAAUCAUGCAGUGGUUCGUUCUGACCUCCUUGCAGCCUGGAAUUUUCAAGUGGCACUGAGUUUGACACAGUGGAUCCCAAACUUUGCUUUUCAGUCGGGCCAACACAAUCUAGCUGCCUAUCUAUAGGCGCAGG